Drosophila melanogaster (fruit fly) is the source of this 78-nucleotide non-coding RNA. Its record names the gene mir-9a. The record is from Ensembl. NCBI's taxonomy places the organism in Eukaryota, Metazoa, Arthropoda, Insecta, Diptera, Drosophilidae.
GCUAUGUUGUCUUUGGUUAUCUAGCUGUAUGAGUGAUAAAUAACGUCAUAAAGCUAGCUUACCGAAGUUAAUAUUAGC